UGACUUCUGAGGAAACUGGGAUGCAGCAAAAAUGUCGGAUCUGUUGUGAGUGAAAGAUAGUAAGAGACGCCAAGACCUAGAAAUAACAGCGUUUCAGUUACCAAGUCGGAGAAAAGCAAACUCAGAGGCGGAAACAAGCUUGCCUUGUUCGGAAACAAGGCAAGCGCUAAAAUAACUUUCGGAGAUGUAGCUGUCUUGUUUCCACCUCCAAUUUAGCUUUUUUCCGACUUGGUAGCUGAAGUGCUGGGGACUCAGAUGUGACAUCAUUUUCAUCUCGGACUUCUGACUUCCUAGGAAAUUUGAACGCAGCAUGAGUGUUGAGAUGCUGAUUCUGGAGAGCCGGAUUAUUGAAGGUCCGAGAGCAGCGGGCUCUCAGAAUGUGCUGUCCCAGAAUGUCGGGUUCUAUUAACAGGUUCUGGAAUAACAUAGUCUGGGUUUUAGAAUCCCAGGUUCUGGAACGCCCAGGUCCUGGGCUGGAUUCCAGAUACUGGAACUUUUUAAUACUGGGUGUUGCAAUGCUGGAUCCUACAUUUCCUGAUGUUGUGGUACUAAAUUCAAGAGUGCCGGUACCAAAACUGGUGUUCUGGUGCACUUGACUCCAUAAUAUUGAGUUCCAGUGUUCUGGGUUCUGGAGCGGAGGGCUUUGAGGUCCUGGGCUGAGGUGUUCUGGAGUUGAAUUAAAAAGUAAAAGAGACAGAAAUCAGGUUAGACAGAGAAAGAGAGAGAGAAAGAGAGAGGAGAUGAAUAAAUAAGAGUGUGUGUAAUCAUCAAGGACUGAAGUGCACACACACACACAGGCGCUCCGAGAACAGCCUGACAUACAUUUAUAGAUAAAACAGUUUGGCAGCAGAGACGCUGUUGCAUUGUGGGAAAAUUUAGGUUGAGUGCAGAAGCAGAAACUGUCAGACUGUGAAGAUGGAGAUGAAAUCCAAAAGUCAGUUUUUCUCGCCGAACACGCAGAGAUGAUGUUUCCUCCGAUUCUCUGGGGGGCCUCCGCACAUGCUCACUGCAGUUUUCUGUGGGGAGGGGGGACCAUACUACAACUCCUGAAGAGUGCGAGUGCUGCUGCUUUGAAGGGAUAUUCCCUCUUGAAGUAAUUUGAGGUCAAACAAACUGUAGACACCCCCUCCAGAGAUGAAUGUUGCUGACCGCUUACUUCUUUAGUUAUACCAACUUUUGUAAUGACUGCAGGAUAGCAAUACCGAGAGCUACACGAGACCUCAGGCCAGUCCGUUUCAGACUACAGGGGCUGACGCAGCUCAAGGAAGAACAUUUAUGAUCAUUUCUUUAUCAUUUCCUUGAAGUAAUAAUCACCAUAUUAAUCAUUUUGCACUGCAGACACGGUAGUUAUUCUGCCUUAGCGUCUCAGUCUGAUUGUAUUUCCAUGAAGAAAUGAUCAUAAAUGUUCUUCCUUGAGCUGCGUACAUCCAGGAUUUUUCCUGGGUUGCCAGACCCAUCUAUGAGCUGCUCCAAAACAAGCCAGGGCAGGCCCAAAUCCCAACACGUGGUAGAAACCCCAAACACCCACAGUUGCCCUCCAGAGAGCCCAUAGACAGGACCGCUGAACACGACAAAGCCCUCGAACAACUGGUACACCUCUUCACAAGUCCCCCUGUCUUAGCAUACCCUGAUUUUAACCACCCCUUUAGGCUGCACACUGACGCCUCAGAUCAGGGCUUAGGAGCUGUUCUGUAUCAGCAUUAAAAUGGGAAAUUAAGAGUCAUUUGAUAUGGAUGAAGGACGUUGUCACCAGCCGAACGCAGUUACCACCUACACAGUGGAAAAUUGGAGUUCCUCACAUUAAAAUGGGCUAUUUGUGAGAAGUUGCGCGAUUUCCUGUACUAUGCUCCGCACUUCACUGUCUUUACCAAGAAAUGCCCGUUGAUCUAUGUCAUGAGUACAGCCAAGCUCAAUGCAGUCGGUCAUCGGUGGGUGGGGGAACUCGCAGACUUCCACUUUGAUGUGAAAUACAGGCCCGGGAAGUCAAACAUCGACGCAGACACACUAUCUCGCCUGCCCCCAGCUGGACUGGCCUGAGGUCUCCGUUCAAACAAGUGGCUGCUGGAAGAGAGUAGGUGAGAUGGGGAGAUUUUUUUUUUUUUCAUUAUCAUGUGAUUGACUUAAUAUGUAAACUGAGCACUUCAGAAAUCGGCCCUUUAAAUGACACUUGGACGGUCAGCAAAUCAUCCUGGCUCCUUCGCCGACGAGAACCAAUCAUAGGCCAAACUAUUCCAAUCAUGCGCACACUCUUCACGUGUACUUGGAGUACUUGGAGAGCCUGUGGUAGCAUAGGACUUAUCCACGCCGGUGUUGUGCCGUAGAAUGCACCCCUGUCGUAGAAUGCCCCCCUGACGAGAGCGCGGUUAGGGUUUUCCUUACCGUUGGACGGAUUCAAAAGCGUGUGCCUUCAAUGACUUCAUUCAGGUUCUAGAACUUGUUGUCCUAUGCUUUGGCCCAUGCUUGAAGCCUUUUGUGACAAAAUAAAAACAUGUGAACCCUGGUCUUUUUAACACUCCUUUUCGCCGCUGAUGUUAUUCAUUGAUUCAUUAAAACGUAAUGGUUUUGAGCCAUCUAAAAUAGCGAAAGCAGGCGUCUCGCAUUUACUGCUCUGCAGGGCUCUCAAGUCUCACGCAUUCAGCGUGUGACACACGCAUUCCCACCCGUUCACACGCCACACAUUGUAUUUCUCACGCAUUUAUUUGAACAUGGUGAUGUCCACAAAGUUGCACCUCUGUAACAAUGGAACAGGUAGAAAUCAACUGAGUUCCUGCGAGAGUUCAGAAGCUGCGUGCCACGCACAAGCCAAGUAUAUAUACUGAACAGCCAAUCAAAAAGCAGCAUUGCUGUAUCCGGGUAGAUUUUGAUAUCUUGCGGUUUGACUACAGAAGAAGACAGACACUCGCCGAAAUAGAGCAGGUUUUUAUAAGGACGAGAAAGACCCGAUGAUUACAGUAAGUCAGUAACCUACACAUGCAGAGACCUCAACACCUCAUGGCAGAUAAACUCAUAUGAUAAACUAAAGCCCUAUGCUAUUGCUAUUAACAGCUGUAUUGAUGAAUUUAGCCUCUGUACAGCCAUUUCCAGCCAUUUUCCCCUCCACAAAAGCAGCAUUUGAGUGUAACGCUCAUGUACCAAAGGAUUAAGUAUCUCCAUGUUUGUGAAACCUAUACUAAAGUACAAUUCAUCUAAAUGCUCCUCAGAUACUCCUUCAGAAGUUCUUAUCAGAUAACCCAGAGGGAGCAUGUAGAGGGAAAACAACAGAGGGCCCAGGACAGAACCCUGAGGGACUCCACCGGACAGGGUCCCAACUGCAGAGACAAAUAUGUAACUGAAAAAGAUCUACCAGGAAAGUCAGAGGAAAACCAGUCUAAUGCUGUUCCAAAGAUACCAACCCACUGUCUGAGAUGCCGGAUCAACACACUGUGCUCCACAGUAUCGAAGGCUGCGCAACAUUAUCAUCCUUUUCAAAUAAGAAAGCUGAGAUUCUGUGUGAGGACGGUCUUUGUCUGUUUUUGUCGAUCAUUAAAAAAAAAAAAAAAGAUCACUCUGCUGUCCUCUUCCUCUGUAUCAGCAUCUUCAUUAUCCUCUCUCUUUACUCUCUGUCAGUGUGGUCAUUCUCGUCUUCAUCGCUCUGGCGCUGACUCAGCCUGAAGGUUUCCUGGACCGCUGUGACAUCACUGAUGGUGUCAUCGGCGGUCUUGUAUUACACCCUCUCUCAGCCUGGUGUGUGUUUUCUCUUUCAGCGGUAAUGAAGUCCUCCUGUCUGUCAGGUAAACAAACAUCAGUCAGGUCCGUUAGUUUUGAUUUUUGUCUUUCACUGAAAACUGAAGCAGCAGAAUUCAUCAGGAUAUUUUUAUAUUAUAGAUAAACUGAAGAAACUUUAUAUAUUUAAAGAUAAACUGAAGAAACUUUAUAUAUUUAUAGAUAAACUGAAGAAACUUUACAUAUUUAUAGAUAAACUGAACAAACUAUAUAUUUAUAGAUAAACUGAACAAACAUAUAUUUAUAGAUAAACUGAACAAACUUAUAUAUUUAUAGAUAAACUGAACAAACUAUAUAUUUAUAGAUAAACUGAACAAACUUUAUAUAUUUAUAGAUAAACUGAAGAAACUUUAUCCCCUGAAAUCACCUUAACCUGCUUUAUCACCAUAAUGUUAUUAACAGGUUUGUUGUCGAUGUGACUCUGUCCUUAAAACACUCACUGUAAAGUUGGAUUUAGAGACUUUAUCACAAUUUGAUAUUAGACUUUUGUAAAACUCAGUCAAAUGUCUGAAGUUAAAACUGGGAAAUUAAAUUAUUUUAGAAGAAUAUCUGCCUAUUUUAAAUUUGAUACAGCAACAUGUUUUUAAAAAGGUUCUUAUAGGGGAAAAGCCAAGCCAGUAAAAAGUUGUAAUACUAAAAUGUUUUUUCUAUUUAAAUGCAUUCUAAAUUUACAUUUAUGUAAUUUUCUAUUUUAUACGACAGAGUAUUAGGGCCACAUCAAGAAAGAAAAAUUAAGACUUUGAGAUUAAAGUCAUAAACUUAGGGGAAUUAAGUCUAAAAAAAGUAAUUACUUACAAGAGUAAAAUCGUAAAAAAGGUCUUAUAAUCUAACCUGCUGUUUAAGAUGACAGUUGUUGAAAUUAGAGUCAUGGAGCAUUUCAUAAAAAAAUUUUCUUUAAUAUAUAUUUCUCAAACAAGGAGAUACUUCAUCUUUUGGCAUAUCAGCACCA
Non-coding RNA from Xyrichtys novacula (pearly razorfish), 4711 nucleotides. Lineage: Eukaryota; Metazoa; Chordata; Actinopteri; Labriformes; Labridae. The record is from the annotation of a GenBank genome assembly.